UACAGAGGGGGCAAGCGUUGUUCGGAAUUACUGGGCGUAAAGGGCGCGUAGGCGGCCUUCUAAGUCGAACGUGAAAUCCCCGGGCUCAACCCGGGAACUGCGUCCGAUACUGGAAGGCUUGAAUCCGGGAGAGGGAUGUGGAAUUCCAGGUGUAGCGGUGAAAUGCGUAGAUAUCGGAAGGAACAUCAGUGGCGAAAGCGGCUUCCUGGACCAGCACCGACGUUCAGGCACGAAAGCGUGGGGAGCAAACAGG
Molecule: ribosomal RNA, 253 nt
Filed under: uncultured bacterium
Lineage: Bacteria
Description: partial 16S ribosomal RNA
Rfam family: Bacterial small subunit ribosomal RNA
Source: RNAcentral